Molecule: ribosomal RNA, 253 nt
Filed under: uncultured prokaryote
Description: partial 16S ribosomal RNA
Rfam family: Bacterial small subunit ribosomal RNA
Source: RNAcentral
ACGGAGGGUGCGAGCGUUGUCCGGAAUCACUGGGCGUAAAGGGCGCGUAGGUGGCUCGUUAAGUUGCCGGUGAAAUCCCGGGGCUCAACUCCGGGGCUGCCGGUAAGACUGGCGGGCUCGAGCACGGUAGAGGCAGAUGGAAUUCCCGGUGUAGCGGUGGAAUGCGUAGAGAUCAGGAGGAACACCGGUGGCGAAGGCGGGACUCUGGGCCGAUACUGACGCUGAGGAGCGAAAGCGUGGGGAGCGAACAGGA